Molecule: ribosomal RNA, 454 nt
Filed under: uncultured bacterium
Lineage: Bacteria
Description: partial 16S ribosomal RNA
Rfam family: Bacterial small subunit ribosomal RNA
Source: RNAcentral
GAUGAACGCUGACAGAAUGCUUAACACAUGCAAGUCAACUUGAACUUCGGUUUGGGUGGCGGACGGGUGAGUAACGCGUAAAGAACUUGCCUCACAGCUAGGGACAACAUUUGGAAACGAAUGCUAAUACCUGAUAUUAUGAUUAUAUGGCAUCGUAUAAUUAUGAAAGCUAUAUGCGCUGUGAGAGAGCUUUGCGUCCCAUUAGCUAGUUGGAGAGGUAACAGCUCACCAAGGCGAUGAUGGGUAGCCGGCCUGAGAGGGUGAUCGGCCACAAGGGGACUGAGACACGGCCCUUACUCCUACGGGAGGCAGCAGUGGGGAAUAUUGGACUAUGGACCGAGAGUCUGAUCCAGCAAUUCUGUGUGCACGAUGAAGUUUUUCGGAAUGUAAAGUGCUUUCAGUUGGGAAGAAAAAAAUGACGGUACCAACAGAAGAAGUGACGGCUAAAUACGUG